Araneus ventricosus is the source of this 72-nucleotide non-coding RNA. The record is from the annotation of a GenBank genome assembly. Lineage: Eukaryota; Metazoa; Arthropoda; Arachnida; Araneae; Araneidae.
CCCCGUCCGAUAUAGUGGUAGUGCGCUUGCCUUCAAACUCUGUGAUCUCGGGUUCGAUCCCCGGCUCGGAGG